Molecule: ribosomal RNA, 1472 nt
Filed under: Helicobacter heilmannii ASB1.4
Lineage: Bacteria; Pseudomonadati; Campylobacterota; Epsilonproteobacteria; Campylobacterales; Helicobacteraceae
Description: LSU rRNA
Rfam family: Bacterial large subunit ribosomal RNA
Source: RNAcentral
ACCGAUAGCGCACAAGUACCGUGAGGGAAAGGUGAAAAGAACCGUGGGUAACGGAGUGAAAUAGAACCUGAAACCAUCUACUUACAAUCAUUCAGAGCCCUAUGAUUUAUCAGGGUGAUGGACUGCCUUUUGCAUAAUGAUCCUGCGAGUUGUGGUGUCUGGCAAGGUUAAGUGAAAACGAGCCGUAGCGAAAGCGAGUCUGAAUAGGGCUAUUUAGUCAGACGCUGCAGACCCGAAGCCAAGUGAUCUAUCCAUGGCCAAGUUGAAACGAGUGUAACAGCUUGUGGAGGACUGAACCCGUGCCCAUUGAAACGGGCUGGGAUGAGCUGUGGAUAGGGGUGAAAGGCCAAACAAACUUGGUGAUAGCUGGUUCUCUUCGAAAUAUAUUUAGGUAUAGCCUCAAGUCAUGACAAGAGGGGGUAGAGCUCUGAUUGGGCUAGGGCUGCUCGCCGCAGUACCAAACCCUGUCAAACUGCGAAUACCUUUUGUUGUAUCUUGGGAGUCAGGCGGUGGGUGAUAAAAUCAAUCGUCAAGAGGGAAACAACCCAGACUACCAACUAAGGUCCCCAAGUUCUAUUCUGAGUGGAAAAAGAUGUGUGGUUACUCAAACAACCAGGAGGUUGGCUUAGAAGCAGCCAUCCUUUAAAGAAAGCGUAACAGCUCACUGGUCUAGUGAUCAUGCGCUGAAAAUAUAACGGGGCUAAGAUAGACACCGAAGUUGUAGAUUAUGUUUCACACAUAGUGGUAGAAGAGCGUUCUGUGCAGCACUGAAGGCAUACCGGUAAGGAGUGUUGGAGCGCACAGAAGUGAGCAUGCAGGAAUGAGUAGCGAUAAGAUGCGUAAGAAUCGUAUCCGCCGUAAAUCUAAGGUUUCCUACGCGAUGUUCGUCAUCGUAGGGUUAGUCGGGUCCUAAGCCAAGUCCAAAAGGGGUAGGCGAUGGCAAAUGGGUUAAUAUUCCCAUACCAAUUGCAAUGUGCGAUGGGAGGACGCAUAAAGUUAGGCGAGCCAGCUGAUGGAAGUGCUGGUCGAAGGGUGUAGAUUGGGAGAGUGGCAAAUCCGCUCCUGUAUUUGAAACCUGACAGGCUCUCUAAGACCUUCGGGUCAAGGGGAGAAUCGCUGAUACUAUCGUGCCAAGAAAAGUCUCUAAGUUUAGUUGCAAUUGUCCGUACCGCAAACCGACACAGGUAGAUGAGAUGAGUAUUCUAAGGCGCGUGGAUGAACUCUCUUUAAGGAACUCUGCAAACUAGCACCGUAAGUUCGCGAUAAGGUGUGCCUACUCUAAGUAGGUCUCAGCAAAGAGUCCCUCCCGACUGUUUACCAAAAACACAGCACUUUGCCAACUCGUAAGAGGAAGUAUAAGGUGUGACGCCUGCCCGGUGCUCGAAGGUUAAGAGGAUGGGUUAGCCGCAAGGCGAAGCUUUGAAUUGAAGCCCGAGUAAACGGCGGGCGGAACUAUAAAGGGCCUAAGGGAG